AAGUGAUUGGCUUCUAAAUCUCAAAUUUCUCUUUUAUAUAAAGAAUUCCUAAUGCUCAAGGUGAAACACUAAGUGAAGUUGUAGCUAAAGUGAACAAGAGUGGAAUGAGAGCUUUUGUGCUAUGAAGGAAAAUUAGCCCUAUCAUUAUGAAAUCAUUCUACAAAAUCUGUAGGAUAAAACAUGAUAGAAGUGCUUGAAGAGACAGAAUAAUGGAAUAAAAUACAAUGUCCAAAAUAGACACAAAUGCAUAAGGAAAUUUAGAAGAUGAUCAUGGCACCAUAUCAAGGCAUGAGGCAGAGGGACAGUUCACUGAAUGUUGAUGGUGAAAGCUGAAUAUCCUAUGGAAAAAAAGUGAAAAUAGGUCCAGACCUCAUAUGAUCCAUAAGAAUAAACCUCAAACACAUCAUAGAUAAAAAUGUAAAAACUAUUUGAUGGUUUUGUUCUUGAUUUGGUUAAGCUGGGGCUAUACUUUGUAAAUCAUCUUUUAAAAGUAGGUUCAGGUUAGAAUAGGCCAAAAGAUGAACUUGUGAAACUCUGGGAGGUAAGGUAAAGUAGUAGCUACUCUGCUCCAAGUCUCCACAAUCUAUUAUGAUGGGGGAUGGGUAGACAGUGCCUGGUAAGUUUCAGCUAGUUUUUGUCCUCUAUUCUCUUGCAGGCCAAUAGCAGUCCCAGGUCCAUCAACAGAUGUCCAGUAGCAAUUACAGGCAGGUAACAUCUACCCCCACAGGCCCCUUCCACAAAUUCCCCCUUCAGAAUCCUACUUUGGGCACAGCUUCUUCUGCAGGCUCCAGCUUGCUCACCUGUGUUGGUGUUUCAGGACAGUAAGAAGAGAACAUCCAGCACAACACGGCCUUCAGAAACAAGCUAAUGGAACAAUUUGGUGUCAAUUUCACAGCUCAGUGAAGUGAAAGUGAUCUAACUGGCCAUCGACACACACCUAGAAGGAGGUCUAAGAAUGACAAGAAAAAGGAAGACCAAGUCUCACAAAUUAGUAAAAAUAAGACAGGAUAAAAGGCAGGAAUGUGCUAGACUUCAAUGGAAAUUUUUUUUUUAAAGGAAAAAGAUUCUGCACACCCCAGUACCUAGAGAGGAUGAAAAUAUAUCUCUUGAAAGCACACAGCGUGCAGCACACACGAAAGCAGUGGGGAACUUAAUGAGCUCUCUGGUUAAACAUAACAUCUGCCUG
Molecule: long non-coding RNA, 1186 nt
Filed under: Heterocephalus glaber (naked mole-rat)
Lineage: Eukaryota; Metazoa; Chordata; Mammalia; Rodentia; Bathyergidae
Description: lncRNA (ENSHGLG00100044798.1)
Source: RNAcentral